Molecule: long non-coding RNA, 530 nt
Filed under: Pan paniscus (pygmy chimpanzee)
Lineage: Eukaryota; Metazoa; Chordata; Mammalia; Primates; Hominidae
Description: lncRNA (ENSPPAG00000045002.1)
Source: RNAcentral
AUUUUCUUUUCUUUUUUUUUCAUUUUUAAUUAACUUUGAAGUUCCAGAGUACAUGUGCAGAUUUGCUAUGUAGGUAAACCAGUGUCAUGGGGGUUUGUCAUACAGAUUAUUUUGUCACCCCAGGGAUUAAGCCUAGUAUCCACUGGAAACCACAGGACACUUUGAAACUCCUUCAGGACAGAGAUGCUGAUUUCAAGCCCCUUUCGAAAGGAGGUAGAGGGCAGGUAGGAAGAAUUGAGGGCUGAAAUCCUGGAUUGAACAUUGGUAAGAUGGGCAACUACCAAACUUCCCUCAUGAAUUCCAUAAUAUUGACUGCACUUUAGUUUCAUCCUUAGGCAAAAUUUCAUCGUGUGCAAUGUAAAUAUUUGCAAAAUCUGUGUUGGUUUGUGGUUAAUUAUGGUAUAAACAAAACAAAACCCACAAAAAUCAAACAAACAUAAAACCCCAGUACACCUCCUCUCCCAAUUUCACCUGUUAAUCACCAUUAUUUAAUCAAUACCAGUUUUCUGUAGGCACUCUUAUCAAGUUAC